RNAcentral lists this ribosomal RNA (460 nucleotides) under uncultured bacterium. RNAcentral describes it as "partial 16S ribosomal RNA". It matches the Rfam family "Bacterial small subunit ribosomal RNA", at positions 338 to 795 of the family's 1533-position model. The record is from RNAcentral.
CCUACGGGUGGCUGUAGUGAGGAAUAUUGGUCAAUGGGCGCGAGCCUGAACCAGCCAAGUAGCGUGAAGGAUGACUGCCCUACGGGUUGUAAACUUCUUUUAUAAAGGAAUAAAGUGAGGCACGUGUGCCUUUUUGUAUGUGCUUUAUGAGUAAGGAUAGGCUAACUCCGUGCCAGCAGCGCCGGUAAUACGGGGGAUCCGAGCGUUAUCCGGGUUUAUUGGGUUUAAAGGGAGCGUAUAUGGGUUGUUAAGUCAGUUGUGAAAGUUUGCGGCUCAACCGUAAAAUUGCAAUUGAUACUGGAAGCCUUGAGUGAAGUUAAGGUAGGCGGAAUUCGUGGUGUAGCGGUGAAAUGCUUAGAUAUCACGAAGAACUCCGAUCGCGAAGGCAGCUUACUAAAGUGCAACUGACAUUGAUGCUCGAAAGUGUGGGUAUCAAACAGGAUUAGAUACCCUUGUAGUC